This 802-nucleotide ribosomal RNA is filed under the name uncultured bacterium. Its description in RNAcentral is "bacterial SSU rRNA". It matches the Rfam family "Bacterial small subunit ribosomal RNA", at positions 8 to 796 of the family's 1533-position model. The record is from RNAcentral.
AGAGUUUGAUCAUGGCUCAGGACGAACGCUGGCGGCGUGCUUAACACAUGCAAGUGGAGCGACGAACCGGGCUUCGGCCCGGGGCAAAGCCGCGAACGGGUGAGUAUCACGUGGGUAACCUGCCCCGAUGACCGGGACAACCCGAGGAAACUCGGGCUAAUACCGGAUGUGCUCCUCGCACAUCAGUGCAAGGAGUAAAGGAAGCUUCGGCCUCCGCAUUGGGAUGGGCCCGCGGCCCAUUAGCUUGUUGGUGAGGUAAAGGCUCACCAAGGCAACGAUGGGUAGCUGGUCUGAGAGGACGAUCAGCCACACUGGGACUGAGACACGGCCCAGACUCCUACGGGAGGCAGCAGUGGGGAAUCUUGCGCAAUGCGCGAAAGCGUGACGCAGCAACGCCGCGUGAGGGAAGACGGCCUUCGGGUUGUAAACCUCUUUCAGGAGGGACGAAGGUUCAGGCGCGAAUAGCGUCCUGGACUGACGGUACCUCCAGAAGAAGCCCCGGCUAACUACGUGCCAGCAGCCGCGGUAAUACGUAGGGGGCUAGCGUUGUCCGGAAUCAUUGGGCGUAAAGAGCGUGUAGGCGGCCCGGUAAGUCCGCUGUAAAAGUCAAAGGCUCAACCUUUGAAUGUCAGUGGAUACUGCCGGGCUAGAGUCCGGAAGAGGCGAGUGGAACUCCUGGUGUAGCGGUGGAAUGCGCAGAUAUCAGGAAGAACACCAACGGCGAAGGCAGCUCGCUAGGACGGUACUGACGCUGAGACGCGAAAGCGUGGGGAGCGAACAGGAUUAGAUACCCCGGUAGUCC